CAGGCAUGAGCCACCGCGUCCAGCCUGCAGUGGUUUUCUUACUACUUUUUACAAUCAAAUUGAUUAAGGCAUUGGUUGAAUAUGGUACAAUGCAUCCAUUUCAAGUUUGACGACAUGUCUACUACUCCAGAAGGUCCUCUUGUGCCCUUUGCAGUCAGUCCCCUCGACUCCCUGACCCCAGCAAUUAAUGAUGUAUUUUCUGCCACUAUACAGGUUAGUUUCACCUGUUCCAGAAAUUCACCUUGAUGGCACCACAUAGAAUGCACUCUUUUCAUCACUCAGCAUGAGGUUUUUGAGAUUGGCCCAUGCUAUCUCAUGUUUCCAUAAUUUGUCCCAUCUUAUUGAGGGUAGUACUCCGUUGGAUGAAUAUAUCACAAUAGGUCCAUUCACCUCUUGAUGCAUAUGAACCUUUUCCAGUUUGGGGACUAUUGUAAACAAAGCUGCUAAGAACAAGUUCUUUUUGUGAAUAUAUGUUUUGUAAAUUCCACUUGUCAUUCUUUAGUAUUAACUGAUUUUGUAAAAUGAUGUCACCUUCACAAGUGCAAAAUUCAUUCAAAUGUUACAGAGGCCUGAAGCAUAAGUCUACACAAUUUCCUUUGUUAUAUUUCAUAAUUAAGGGGAAAAAACUUUAUCUGGGAUGUUGUUUCCUAUCAGCAAAUCCUUAAUGUAAGCCAUACAGGAUGCUAGCUGUACUAUUAGACUAUCUUCUGUAAUCUGUGCAAUAACUCUAAGAAGUACUUCGUAUUAUUAUUUUCCUGUAACACUUUCCAACUUGAAGCCUAGCAAAUUGAAGGACCUGGCCCCAGGUCAAACAGAAGGCAAGCGGCAGCGCCAGGACUGGAAGAAGGCCUUCCCAAAGGCAGACAGAAGCUCACGUCUCUGUCAGAACCUCGGUAUUUCUGAUGCGCCUGGAAGCCAAUAUCCAAGCCGUUCUCAGCCACUGGAUUGGUGGGCUGCUUUGCUCAGAAACUCCUCGAUCAGGAAUCCCAAGCAUACGUUAGUGAUGACGGUCCCAAAACAAGGGACAUUUCUUAACCAUUCUAAAAACCCGUUUGCUCAUCAGUAACGCAAUAAGAGUUGCUUUCGGUCUUGGUUCAUAUAUUUUAUAUUUGAGCAAGGCAAUGUCCGCUGCUGGGGUUAGAAGUAAAUGGCUCCUCUUCAGCAAACUAGAUCAGUCCGUGGGACGUACGGCUUCCACUCGCAGUGUCCUGAACACUGGCUGGGCUUCCUGUGCGUUCUAGCCGGUUUUCUUUGGAGCCGCGGGUUUCUGCACGGCUCCGGGGUCGGGAUGGCAGAGGCUUCUCGGAACACGCGGAUCUAUGAGUGCAGUCCCCGGGGUAGCCACCAGGGAACGCCAUAGGCUUUCCCGCUGUGUUCCUCCUUGCCUUUUCCGUUUGGGCCAAGUAGUUUCUAUUGACCAUGACAUUACAGAUCAGAAGUGGGUGGGGUCAGAAAACACACCCUGGGAGAAGCUGGCAAAAUGCCCAGAACCGCCAUCACUAGGCCUGGGGUUUUCUUCUGUAGUGGAAUUCUCGUGCUUAUGUAGUACAGGGAGGAGCGCAGCGCAUUUCCGCCAAGACAGGUGAGACUGCAGUUCUGACCUGCGGGCCUCGAUGAAUUGCUUUAGGGCCCCUGGGCGCCGGCAGAGCCGAUCUCCUACACAAAGCAAGCGUGUUAUGUCUACGACCGAACGGGGACACUAAGAAAGAGCCCCAAAGGCCCUGCUUUCAUCCCAAAGAACAGCGCCUGUCUGCGUAGUUUCUACCUUGCUCUAUGAGUGCAUCAGUUUAAGAGAAGACAUGAGAUCAUGGGUUUAAGUGAGGCUUCAUCAUACUAAGACAACGUGAUCAGGUACAAGUCGGUGAUUAAAGUGCAGAACAACUUCCCCAAUACAGGAAUCCAGCUUCUGAAAAUAUCUGUGCUGGAAAACUUGCAAUGGAGGAAUGGAAGACUUGAGAAAGGGAGGGCUGGGAAACAAGAGCUGUGACUCACCCUGAAGACAUUCUUAUUCCCAACCUAUAUAACUCACAUACACUGGAGGAAAUAUCUUCAUGGAAUUAAAACCACAUGGAGUAACAUUUCACGUAAGCAGAAUUCAGGAAGGAUUUCAGUAAUUCCAUCCCAAACACACACAGGUAAAGGGAGUGAAGAUUUCUUCAGCAACAUGGUGGCAGAAAGAUCAUGAAAAGAUCUAGGCCAGGCAAGUAUGCAAACAAGACUGACUCUUCCUUUCCACUGGAGCUUUGGGUAAUUGCUCUCACAAUUCUAUGAUUUGCUGAAGCCACAGAAAAUCAGUUUUAAAACAGGAUUUCUACCCCUGGCUCACUACAUGACAAAUAAUUUUAUCCUGUAAUCUUCUGAUGUUAAACAAAGAUGGCCCUCAAUGUAAUUGUUACAGUGCCUCCUCCCCACUUCUGUUAGCUGUUGCUUCUCUGCCUCCCACGAGUUUAGUGUAAUCCCAGAACUUUGGGAGACCAAGGAGGGCAGAUCACUUGAGGUCAGGAGUCAGAGACCAGCCUGGCCAA
This 2525-nucleotide long non-coding RNA is filed under the name Homo sapiens (human). Its description in RNAcentral is "HSALNT0295598". The record is from RNAcentral. Lineage: Eukaryota; Metazoa; Chordata; Mammalia; Primates; Hominidae.